Molecule: long non-coding RNA, 251 nt
Filed under: Elaeis guineensis (African oil palm)
Lineage: Eukaryota; Viridiplantae; Streptophyta; Magnoliopsida; Arecales; Arecaceae
Description: long non-coding RNA (EGUI_LNC033178)
Source: RNAcentral
CCGACAAUGAGGUUUCUACAGUAACCAGACUCCACCCAAAUUUCUAUGACGAUCGACCGCCUCCUGAAUCCUAAUUGAGCUCCCGCGAGAGCUAAACUUCUACUACAAACGGUCUACUCCAAACUCCUACAGCGGGCUGUCUACCCCAGACACCUACCGUAAGCAAAUUUCUUCCGAACUCCUGUUACAGGUAGACUCCAACCGAGCUACUCCGUAGCGAGUGGGCUCCGGACGAACUUCUACAGUGGGAC